This 217-nucleotide long non-coding RNA is filed under the name Daucus carota (carrot). RNAcentral's name for it is "long non-coding RNA (DCAR_LNC007087)". Lineage: Eukaryota; Viridiplantae; Streptophyta; Magnoliopsida; Apiales; Apiaceae. The record is from RNAcentral.
AUGUGCCCUAAGUGUAAAAAUGCAUGAUGCAACACAUAUUUAAUUCUAACUAAUAUUUUUGGAUUUUAAUAUUUUUUUAUUUGUUUGUGAUUUUCAAUUUUCAAAUUUGUUUGUGGUUUUCUAAAUAAAAACGAAAAAUAAGAGUGGAGAGAUACGGGAUACCAAAGCAAGCUUCCAAAUCCGAGCAAAAUUUGUCCACUUUACUCCAUGAUUCCCG